Molecule: ribosomal RNA, 501 nt
Filed under: uncultured bacterium
Lineage: Bacteria
Description: partial 16S ribosomal RNA
Rfam family: Bacterial small subunit ribosomal RNA
Source: RNAcentral
AUUGAACGCUGGCGGCAGGCUUAACACAUGCAAGUCGAGCGGGGGAAGGUAGCUUGCUACCGGACCUAGCGGCGGACGGGUGAGUAAUGCUUAGGAAUCUGCCUAUUAGUGGGGGACAACAUCUCGAAAGGGAUGCUAAUACCGCAUACGUCCUACGGGAGAAAGCAGGGGAUCUUCGGACCUUGCGCUAAUAGAUGAGCCUAAGUCGGAUUAGCUAGGUGGUGGGGUAAAGGCCUACCAAGGCGACGAUCUGGAGGGGGUCUGAGAGGAUGGUCCGCCACACUGGGACUGGGAAACCGGCCAGACUCCUACGGGAGGCAGCAGUGGGGAAUAUUGGACAAUGGGGGGAACCCUGAUCCAGCCAUGCCGCGGGUGUGAAGAAGGCCUUAUGGUUGUAAAGCACUUUAAGCGAUGAGGAGGCUACUUUAGUUAAUACCUAGAGAUAGUGGACGUUACUCGCAGAAUAAGCACCGGCUAACUCUGUGCCAGCCGCCGCCGUAA